RNAcentral lists this long non-coding RNA (561 nucleotides) under Gossypium barbadense (sea-island cotton). RNAcentral describes it as "long non-coding RNA (GBAR_LNC001299)". The record is from RNAcentral. Lineage: Eukaryota; Viridiplantae; Streptophyta; Magnoliopsida; Malvales; Malvaceae.
GCCCGCCCAUUUUGUCUCGCCCUAAAUGGAAUGGCUCUCUUAAUUAUGCUGCGCCCCGACCCGAGUCCCCACGUCCGCUCUUCUCCGCCCGUAACCCAAGAAGUUGGCUUUGCCAACACAACAUUAGGGCCGUCCCCUUCAUUCUAUGCUGACCCCGGCCUGGGGCUGGCUUUUUGGGAAGCCCAUUCCCACCGCGCUCACGGCCCGGCUGGCCUGCCAACGGUAGUGGGAAUUCCCCUAUUCCCUGGUCAAAGACUUGGUCGGAUGCGGGAUCUACUCCACGAGGAGCGGUACGGACGUAGAUGAUAUCAUCACGACCUCUCUUUUCGUACCGCUAGGGAUGUUUAACGCCACUUCGCCAAUUGGCGUUACCUGCGCUUUCGUGUCUCUCAGUGUGGUCAGCACUGGGUGUGUCCGAGUAGCGAGGCUUACAACCAUUCGCAUUAGUUCAUCCAAAGUUCCUUACCCUUAUGCACGAAUUAUUGAAUAAGCCAUCUUCCUAUCAAGGUUAAGGAGUCAACUGAGCAUCUCAGCGGCGGGAUUUAAUACCCGAAUCGAAUC